UUUUUUUUGGGUCUCUAAAUAUUUUGCUCUAAUAUCAUGUUAACAAUCUAAAUGCAGAUCAAGAAGAAAAUGAGAAAAACACAAGAAUUAACAAGGUUCGACGGUGUGUCUACAUCUUCGGAUAAGCCUUCCUGACACUCUUUUUUUUCUUUUUCUCCUUGAUCAUCAAGCAUGUACAAACUCAUAUAUAUAUAUAAUCAGACGAAUUUCUUCUACAAGUCAAGCCUCUACAAAUUAGGAAAAUAGAAUUCUCUACAAAUCAGGAGGAAAAUUAAAUCCCCUACAAAUUAGGGGCUGGAAAAUAAAAUCCCCCAUAAAUUAGGUAAUUCCAACUCACGCCAACAAAAGGAACAUCCAUAGUUGUCUGUUGGCUUCUCAAGUUGUAGGUUUCAUCUCCCGAGCAUAAGCAGGAACUUCAAUCUGCCGUGCCACUGCGUGAACCACUGACAAGAAAGGAUCGAGCACCCUGGGAGAGGCUAGAGAUCUGCGCGUAACACGGCUGUGGAUCUUGUGAUACCUUCAGAAGAAAAUUUUAAGACAAUUGAAGUCAGCCACAACUAAACAUAAAACAUGACUUGAGCGUCAGCUUUAUUGAGCAAGACUUCCAUCGAUGAAUCAAAGCAGCGGGCAAAAGGCGUCGCUUGAUUUCUUCAGCUCCCAUGAGGACA
This 668-nucleotide long non-coding RNA is filed under the name Eucalyptus grandis. RNAcentral describes it as "long non-coding RNA (EGRA_LNC007744)". The record is from RNAcentral. Lineage: Eukaryota; Viridiplantae; Streptophyta; Magnoliopsida; Myrtales; Myrtaceae.